RNAcentral lists this unclassified non-coding RNA (286 nucleotides) under Glomus sp. RNAcentral describes it as "partial contains 5.8S ribosomal RNA and internal transcribed spacer 2". The stretch from base 1 to 65 matches the Rfam family "5.8S ribosomal RNA", at positions 84 to 154 of the family's 154-position model. The record is from RNAcentral. Lineage: Eukaryota; Fungi; Glomeromycota; Glomeromycetes; Glomerales; Glomeraceae.
GUGAAUCAUCGAAUUUUUGAACGCAAAUUGCACUCUCCUCGGAGAGUAGGCCUGUUUGAGUGUCAGCCUGUAAAAAAUCGACAUCGUUGCUGUUUCUCGGUGGCGGUCGGUGGAAAUUGGGUCAUCUUAAAUCCUUUUGAUUUAAGCGACUUAAAAUUUUCUUUUGGUUCCAUGAACGGUGCUUAGAUCUAUUGCUUUACACGUUUAAGGUAUCGAUUUUUACUAGACUUUACCAUCAUAUCGGAUCGCGUCCAUAAUCCUUCUAUAACUUACCUCAUACAGGUUA